AAAUUGAAGAGUUUGAUCAUGGCUCAGAUUGAACGCUGGCGGCAGGCCUAACACAUGCAAGUCGAACGGUAACAGGAAGCAGCUUGCUGCUUUGCUGACGAGUGGCGGACGGGUGAGUAAUGUCUGGGAAACUGCCUGAUGGAGGGGGAUAACUACUGGAAACGGUGGCUAAUACCGCAUAACGUCGCAAGACCAAAGAGGGGGACCUUCGGGCCUCUUGCCAUCAGAUGUGCCCAGAUGGGAUUAGCUUGUUGGUGAGGUAACGGCUCACCAAGGCGACGAUCCCUAGCUGGUCUGAGAGGAUGACCAGCCACACUGGAACUGAGACACGGUCCAGACUCCUACGGGAGGCAGCAGUGGGGAAUAUUGCACAAUGGGCGCAAGCCUGAUGCAGCCAUGCCGCGUGUAUGAAGAAGGCCUUCGGGUUGUAAAGUACUUUCAGCGGGGAGGAAGGUGUUGCGGUUAAUAACCGCAGCAAUUGACGUUACCCGCAGAAGAAGCACCGGCUAACUCCGUGCCAGCAGCCGCGGUAAUACGGAGGGUGCAAGCGUUAAUCGGAAUUACUGGGCGUAAAGCGCACGCAGGCGGUCUGUCAAGUCGGAUGUGAAAUCCCCGGGCUCAACCUGGGAACUGCAUUCGAAACUGGCAGGCUUGAGUCUUGUAGAGGGGGGUAGAAUUCCAGGUGUAGCGGUGAAAUGCGUAGAGAUCUGGAGGAAUACCGGUGGCGAAGGCGGCCCCCUGGACAAAGACUGACGCUCAGGUGCGAAAGCAUGGGGAGCAAACAGGAUUAGAUACCCUGGUAGUCCACGCCGUAAACGAUGUCUACUUGGAGGUUGUGCCCUUGAGGCGUGGCUUCCGGAGCUAACGCGUUAAGUAGACCGCCUGGGGAGUACGGCCGCAAGGUUAAAACUCAAAUGAAUUGACGGGGGCCCGCACAAGCGGUGGAGCAUGUGGUUUAAUUCGAUGCAACGCGAAGAACCUUACCUGGUCUUGACAUCCACAGAACUUUCCAGAGAUGGAUUGGUGCCUUCGGGAACUGUGAGACAGGUGCUGCAUGGCUGUCGUCAGCUCGUGUUGUGAAAUGUUGGGUUAAGUCCCGCAACGAGCGCAACCCUUAUCCUUUGUUGCCAGCGAUUAGGUCGGGAACUCAAAGGAGACUGCCAGUGAUAAACUGGAGGAAGGUGGGGAUGACGUCAAGUCAUCAUGGCCCUUACGACCAGGGCUACACACGUGCUACAAUGGCGCAUACAAAGAGAAGCGACCUCGCGAGAGCAAGCGGACCUCAUAAAGUGCGUCGUAGUCCGGAUUGGAGUCUGCAACUCGACUCCAUGAAGUCGGAAUCGCUAGUAAUCGUGGAUCAGAAUGCCACGGUGAAUACGUUCCCGGGCCUUGUACACACCGCCCGUCACACCAUGGGAGUGGGUUGCAAAAGAAGUAGGUAGCUUAACCUUCGGGAGGGCGCUUACCACUUUGUGAUUCAUGACUGGGGUGAAGUCGUAACAAGGUAACCGUAGGGGAACCUGCGGUUGGAUCACCUCCUUA
Molecule: ribosomal RNA, 1542 nt
Filed under: Salmonella enterica
Lineage: Bacteria; Pseudomonadati; Pseudomonadota; Gammaproteobacteria; Enterobacterales; Enterobacteriaceae
Also listed under: 1 other name
Description: bacterial SSU rRNA
Rfam family: Bacterial small subunit ribosomal RNA
Source: RNAcentral